AUCCAAUCGAAGGUUGGAUGAUCGAUGAUCGACGAUCUCCCUGAGGUGCUAUCUUCCUCGUAGAGAUCUGCUCCUGAUGACUGAUCAAACUCCUUCGACAGAUUACUCAAGCUCUUUCGAAGGAUGGAGAAGGACUUAGGAGGAAGUGAGGUGAUGAAAAAAGGUGAAGAGGAGACACUCUCUACUCUAAUUUUCUUUCUUCCCAAGAGCACACACCCUAGGUCUAGAACCCUAGAUCAAUACACAUG
RNAcentral lists this long non-coding RNA (248 nucleotides) under Elaeis guineensis (African oil palm). RNAcentral's name for it is "long non-coding RNA (EGUI_LNC051307)". Lineage: Eukaryota; Viridiplantae; Streptophyta; Magnoliopsida; Arecales; Arecaceae. The record is from RNAcentral.